GGGUCGUAGCUCAAUUGGGAGAGCACCUGCUUUGCACGCAGGAGGUUACGGGUUCGAGUCCCGUCGACUCC
RNAcentral lists this transfer RNA (71 nucleotides) under marine eukaryotic metagenome. It matches the Rfam family "tRNA". From Rfam's summary of the family: Transfer RNA (tRNA) molecules are approximately 80 nucleotides in length. Their secondary structure includes four short double-helical elements and three loops (D, anti-codon, and T loops). The record is from RNAcentral.